RNAcentral lists this ribosomal RNA (472 nucleotides) under uncultured Ancalomicrobium sp. Its description in RNAcentral is "bacterial SSU rRNA". It matches the Rfam family "Bacterial small subunit ribosomal RNA", at positions 910 to 1382 of the family's 1533-position model. The record is from RNAcentral. Lineage: Bacteria; Pseudomonadati; Pseudomonadota; Alphaproteobacteria; Hyphomicrobiales; Ancalomicrobiaceae.
UUGACGGGGGCCCGCACAAGCGGCGGAGCAUGCGGAUUAAUUCGAAGCAACGCGCAGAACCUUACCAGCUCUUGACAUCCCAAGACCGCUACAGAGAUGUAGUUUUUCCCUUCGGGGACUUGGAGACAGGUGCUGCAUGGCUGUCGUCAGCUCGUGUCGUGAGAUGUUGGGUUAAGUCCCGCAACGAGCGCAACCCUCGCCUCUAGUUGCCAGCAUUCGGUUGGGCACUCUAGAGGGACUGCCGGUGAUAAGCCGAGAGGAAGGUGGGGAUGACGUCAAGUCCUCAUGGCCCUUACGGGCUGGGCUACACACGUGCUACAAUGGCGGUGACAGUGGGCAGCUACUUCGCGAGGAGAAGCCAAUCCCAAAAAGCCGUCUCAGUUCGGAUUGCACUCUGCAACUCGAGUGCAUGAAGUCGGAAUCGCUAGUAAUCGCGUAACAGCAUGACGCGGUGAAUACGUUCCCGGGCCUU